Molecule: long non-coding RNA, 1002 nt
Filed under: Chrysemys picta bellii (western painted turtle)
Lineage: Eukaryota; Metazoa; Chordata; Testudines; Emydidae
Description: lncRNA (ENSCPBG00000000164.1)
Source: RNAcentral
CCUGAUGCACCAGAAUCAUUCUCACUUGAGUCAGACGAGGAAGAGGAAGAGGAAGAGGAAGAGGAUGAAACUUCUGGUCCUGAACCAUCAAUGUCACAGGACCCACAUUUUCUCCCAUCCUCCUCCUCUGAACCACACCUCAUAACACAAGGUGAACUGAAUGACCUUGUCAGGGAUUUGGAGCUACCCAAGAGUAAGGCAGAGCUGUUGGGCUCCAGACUACAGCAGUGGAAUCUUCUGGCAGGUGAUGUUAGGGUUUCUGUGUUCCGUGACCGUCAAAAGGAUCUUGUCCCAUUCUUCUUCAUGGAAGGUGAUCUUGUAGCCUGCAACAACAUCGAUGGUGUGAUGGCAGCCCUCAACAUUGUUCAAGAUCCAGAUGAGUGGAGACUGUUCAUUGAUUCAUCCAAGAUGAGUCUUAAAGCUGUUUUACUGCAUAAUGGCAAUGUUUUGCCAUCAAUUCCAGUUGGUCAUGCAAUCCAUAUGAAGGAAACCUAUGACAACAUGAAACAACUUUUGAGGUGCAUAAACUAUGACCAACAUCAGUGGCAGCUUUGUGAUGAUUUGAAGGUUGUUGCUCUCUUGCUUGGUCUGCAGACUGGAUACACAAAGUACUGCUGUUUUCUCUGCGAAUGGGAUAGUCGUGCAAGAGAUUCCCACUACAUCAAGAAAGAUUGGCCACUCCAACAGUCAUUGGAGCCUGGGAGGAAAAGUGUUCAGCAUCCACCACUUGUUGAAUCAAGGAAGAUUUUGUUACCACCCUUACACAUCAAGCUGUGUCUGAUGAAGAACUUUAUCAAGGCCAUUGACAAAACACAAGCAGCUUUCAGGUACCUCCGUGGAAAAUUUCCAAGGUUAAGUGAAGCUAAGAUAAAGGAAGGUGUCUUUGUUGGUCCUCAGAUUCGUGAACUUCUUCAACAUGAUGCAUUUAACCAUGCUCUGCAUGGCAAGGAAAAGACGGCAUGGAAAGCCUUCCAGUUAAUGGCAAUAAAUUUUCUCGGAAAC